CGUUUAAUAUUAUGUAAUUGUGCUUGCAUCUCAGGGCGAUAUAUUUGCAAUGAUAUCACCGACCAUAUAAAAUAAAGCAACAUUGUGAAGAUCACAGUGAUCUUAAAGGAAUAGUUCAUCCACAAUUCUGUCCUCAUUUACUCACCCUUAUGUCAUCUUUCUACUGCGCUACACAAAAGGAAAUAUUUUAAAGAAUGUUGCGAUUCCUGAUUUCCAUACAAUGACAGUGGCUUGUGACCCACUUUAAAGCUUAAAAAAGUAUCUAAAGGUGUAAUAAAGUGGUCCAUGUGACUUGUACGUCAUAUUCUAUGUCUUCUGAAGGCAUACUAUAGGUUGAAAUGUAAGUUAUUUUACAGUGAAAAUUUUGACUUCCGUAAUAGUACUCCUUUUGACCUUAAUGAGUGAAGCUCUUUCACAAUGACUCGAGCUUAAACCUUGCAAAAGCAAAAACAGCGCAAGUUCGUGCGUGAACGGAGCCAUUGUGAAUGAGCUUCUCUCAAAAGUCUGAUUCAUCACCACCAGUUGGUUCUUUAGAAAUGUCUGUUUUAGUUAAUCGAUUCCAAAUACAGCAAUUUAGCACCUGAUUCAGCACUCAAAUGCUCAAAAAGGUCCCUGAGGGACAAUACAGAUGUAAAAAUGUUUUAUAUAUUUUGUUAUAAAUGUUGUUGUUUAUUCCUAAGUGUUAUGUUGAUAGUGGGCGAUUCCAGCCUCGCUGUCCUUUUCUGCAUAUCGCGGCACCGUUUUGUAGGCCGUUCUGCGUAACGCGGUGGCGCAUUUCAGCUUAUCGUGGCCCAUUCUCUGCACCAGAACAAUGUAGAGAUUCUGGUUUCAUUUAUUUGACUCAGGGAAGCAAGGAGCCUUUUGAGUAUCACCUUGCUAACUGCCUAGUAAUCAGAUGGGGUUACCCUAGCAACCAAGUAACAAAUCACAUAUCUCUGCACCAGAACAUCGUAGAGAUUUCCGGUUUCGUUCAUUUGACUCAGGGUAGCAAGGAGCCUUUUGAGUAUCACCUUGCUAACUGCCUAGCAACUGGAUGGGGUUACAGCCACAGUCCACUUCAGUGCGCAGUCCUCCACAGCUCCCACACAGCCAGAGUUGGUGCUGGAUUCAACUGCUGUUGUUCUCCUGUUGGUUUUUUAAAGGAUGGCAACACAAAGCCCCUACAGUUGCCCGGCACCAAUUCGCUGCAAGUGUGUAGCAAAUAGAACCACACAAAAGUAGAAGCUUUUCAAAUAAAAAGUGUAAGUGCCCUAAGCGAUGGUACAAAUGUUUAUAUCACAACAAAAAAUGACAGAGAGCCCGAAUUUAAGGAAGGGGCCACCUACUUCCUUAAAAAUAUCACCCUUAGGACAUGCUAUGGCCACCAGAAUUUGUAUUUUGGCCGCACUUCCACAAAAUUCAGGGCAGCACCAAUCACCCUUACUGAAAGUGUGGAAAAGGCUGCAAAGGAGGCCAUUUGUCCACCAUCUCUUUGUGUCACAGGAGAGGAGGAAGACAUAUUCGCCAGGGGUGACUGUUUGACUCUACAAGGGCAAGUAGAAAAAAUACAACCAGUGAGGAUGACAUACGUCCAGGGCAGCCCUUGUUCCCAUCCUGGACCUCUCCUUGAGAUGUGGCCAAAAGCUGCUGGAGAUUUCCCUCUGGAGGGAUGAGGCUUUGUGUGAGCGCUACCUCUACACUAGUUUUCCUUCUGGAAAACGGAAGAGGAAAAUUAAAUUCCUCAAGCUUCUCAACUGUGAAGACUGCUGAAAGGAAGGUGGAGACAGAAGCUGUGGAGAUUGUUGGCGUCUCCGAAGAAGAUGGCAGCCUCACUCUCCUCUGCAGCACCUUCGAGGAAUUCACUGUCCCGGCCACCCUCUACCAGGGCAGUGUGGACAGCUUGAUCGAGCAACUGCCAACAAAAAUACAAAUUAAACGCAUAGACAAACGUGUGCUCGACAUAUAAAUAAAUGUUUAUAAUUUGUAGUAGUAGUUCAGUUAGUUUAUUAAUUGGUAGUUUACAUUUAAUGUUCAUUUUCUGUUCAUGUUUUGAAAUUGUUCUUAUUCUUUUGUUGUGUUUGUUUAAUGUUGGAGCAUGUAAAUGUAUUUGUUUCUAUACGUUUUAAAUUUAUAAAUGAUUUGUAUUCAAAAAGUUAGUCUGAUGUUUUUACACACAUAUACAUUUAAAAGUUACCUCAGUAAUUAGUCAUGUCCAACUGUGGAGCACAUGCGCAUAUUAGUACCAACUUCCUUAACCUUUCAAAGAGGAAGAAACGAAAGCCUUCGUUUAUGUUCUGUAUAUUUUUCAUAAUCAAGAUUCAUAAGUAUUCUGUGUAUUUUUCUCUUACCCUCAGGGGGGCAACAGAACAUUACCACUGUGUUAACAUACUAUGCUGUAGUGUACUUACCUGUGACUGUAAUUUUCCUCUAGGAAGUGAGGAUGACAAAGGCCCAAGGUAACCAGGUUCCCUGAGAUGUACAAGUAGGUAUCUCUGCAGAACGCUAGCGGGUGUUCCACAAUCAUCUGGGCAUUGUUAAACCACAAUGGGUGGUUUUCAACCACUUUACCCGAUUUCUCUAACACACUGGGGUGGGCCUUUAUGAUUUAAGGAAGUCAGGUAAAGUGGUUGACAAAUGCCCACUGAUUGGGAAACGGCCUUUUUGUUCUGCAGAGAUACCUACUGGAGAUUUCCCGUUAGAGGGAUGAGGCUUUGGGUGACUUUAUAGAGCAGAUAUGAACGACUCUGAAAAUACAACAUCUUUACUUCUAUUGACACAUAUCGGUUACCGAUGCCACUGCAAUAUAUUAGCAGAAAAUUAAUAAACGUGAUCUCAACUGCUUUUUUUAAAACACUGAUAAAAGUGAUAAAACUGACAAUAAAUUAUAUGACUGGAGUCAUCAUUUCACGUGACUGGACAUACUAUUUUUUUUAUUUAUUUUUUAAAGUACUAAUUCCUUUAAACC
Myxocyprinus asiaticus (Chinese sucker) is the source of this 2944-nucleotide long non-coding RNA. RefSeq lists it as uncharacterized. NCBI's taxonomy places the organism in Eukaryota, Metazoa, Chordata, Actinopteri, Cypriniformes, Catostomidae. The record is from RefSeq and is a predicted model, not a curated record. The transcript is spliced from 4 exons.